GCUUCUGUAGCUCAGUUGGUUAGAGCUUUGUACUUAUAAGGGCGCCUGUUUCUCCCACGCAUUCAAUGCAAGGGUCGCCAGUUCAAUCCUGGCCGGAAGCA
This is a non-coding RNA of Lentinula aciculospora, 101 nucleotides long. The record is from the annotation of a GenBank genome assembly. NCBI's taxonomy places the organism in Eukaryota, Fungi, Basidiomycota, Agaricomycetes, Agaricales, Omphalotaceae.